RNAcentral lists this transfer RNA (78 nucleotides) under Bacteriovoracaceae bacterium. Its description in RNAcentral is "tRNA-Glu". It matches the Rfam family "tRNA". From Rfam's summary of the family: Transfer RNA (tRNA) molecules are approximately 80 nucleotides in length. The record is from RNAcentral. Lineage: Bacteria; Pseudomonadati; Bdellovibrionota; Bacteriovoracia; Bacteriovoracales; Bacteriovoracaceae.
GCCCCCAUCGUCUAGCCCGGUCUAGGACACCGCCUUUUCACGGCGAUAACAGGGGUUCGAAUCCCCUUGGGGGCACCA